RNAcentral lists this ribosomal RNA (492 nucleotides) under uncultured bacterium. RNAcentral's name for it is "partial 16S ribosomal RNA". It matches the Rfam family "Bacterial small subunit ribosomal RNA", at positions 29 to 507 of the family's 1533-position model. The record is from RNAcentral.
AGUGAACGCUGGCGGUAGGCCUAACACAUGCAAGUCGAACGGCAGCACAGUAAGAGCUUGCUCUUACGGGUGGCGAGUGGCGGACGGGUGGGGAAUACAUCGGAAUCUACUUUUUCGUGGGGGAUAACGUAGGUAAACUUACGCUAAUAUCGCAUACCACCUUCUUGUUAAAGCAGGGGUUCUUCGUACCUUGCUCGAUUUGAUUCGCCGAGGUCGGAUUAGCUAGUUGGCGGGGUAAAGGCCCACCAAGGCGACGAUCCGUAGCUGGUCUGAUAGGAUGAUCAGACACACGGGAACUGGGAAACGGUCCAGACUCCUACGGGAGGCAGCAGUGGGGAAUAUUGGACAAUGGGCGAAAGCCUGAUGCAGCCAGACCGCGUGGGUGAAGAAGGCCUUCGGGUUGUAAAGCCCUUUUGUUGGGAAAGAAAAGCAGCAGGUUAAUACCCCGAUGUUGUGACGGUACCCAAAGAAUAAGCACCGGCUAACUUCGUG